RNAcentral lists this small RNA (28 nucleotides) under Bombyx mori (domestic silkworm). RNAcentral describes it as "ovarian small RNA-16711". Lineage: Eukaryota; Metazoa; Arthropoda; Insecta; Lepidoptera; Bombycidae. The record is from RNAcentral.
GCCGGCGAGGCAAUGAGUAUCUCGUGGU